GACGAACGCUGGCGGCGUGCUUAACACAUGCAAGUCGAGCGGUAAGGCCCUUUCGGGGGUACACGAGCGGCGAACGGGUGAGUAACACGUGGGUGACCUGCCCUCAGCUCUGGGAUAAGCCUGGGAAACCGGGUCUAAUACUGGAUAUGACUCCAUGACGCAUGUUGUGGGGUGGAAAGCCUUGUGCGGCUGAGGAUGGGCCCGCGGCCUAUCAGCUUGUUGGUGGGGUGANGGCCUACCAAGGCGACGACGGGUAGCCGGCCUGAGAGGGCGACCGGCCACACUGGGACUGAGACACGGCCCAGACUCCUACGGGAGGCAGCAGUGGGGAAUCUUGCGCAAUGGGCGAAAGCCUGACGCAGCGACGCCGCGCGAGGGAUGACGGCC
Molecule: ribosomal RNA, 387 nt
Filed under: uncultured bacterium
Lineage: Bacteria
Description: bacterial SSU rRNA
Rfam family: Bacterial small subunit ribosomal RNA
Source: RNAcentral